Molecule: ribosomal RNA, 652 nt
Filed under: Alcaligenes faecalis
Lineage: Bacteria; Pseudomonadati; Pseudomonadota; Betaproteobacteria; Burkholderiales; Alcaligenaceae
Description: bacterial SSU rRNA
Rfam family: Bacterial small subunit ribosomal RNA
Source: RNAcentral
AGCAGGUGGGGCAACCGCUCAACAAGCCUUCGAUUCGUAGCUGUUCUGCGAGGACGACCAGUUACCACGGGACUGAGACAUGGUCCAGACUCCUACGGGAGGCAGCAGUGGGGAAUUUUGGACAAUGGGGGAAACCCUGAUCCAGCCAUCCCGCGCGUAUGAUGAAGGCCUUAGGGUUGUAAAGUACUUUUGGCAGAGAAGAAAAGGUAUCUCCUAAUACGAGAUACUGCUGACGGUAUCUGCAGAAUAAGCACCGGCUAAAUACGUGCCAGCAGCCGCGGUAAUACGUAGGGUGCAAGCGUUAAUCGGAAUUACUGGGCGUAAAGCGUGUGUAGGCGGUUCGGAAAGAAAGAUGUGAAAUCCCAGGGCUCAACCUUGGAACUGCAUUUUUAACUGCCGAGCUAGAGUAUGUCAGAGGGGGGUAGAAUUCCACGUGUAGCAGUGAAAUGCGUAGAUAUGUGGAGGAAUACCGAUGGCGAAGGCAGCCCCCUGGGAUAAUACUGACGCUCAGACACGAAAGCGUGGGGAGCAAACAGGAUUAGAUACCCUGGUAGUCCACGCCCUAAACGAUGUCAACUAGCUGUUGGGGCCGUUAGGCCUUAGUAGCCGCAGCUAACGCCAUUGAAAGUUGAACCGCCCGGGAGUACCGAAA